Long non-coding RNA from Orcinus orca (killer whale), 281 nucleotides. RefSeq lists it as uncharacterized. Lineage: Eukaryota; Metazoa; Chordata; Mammalia; Artiodactyla; Delphinidae. The transcript has 3 exons. The record is from RefSeq and is a predicted model, not a curated record.
CAUAUUCUACCAAAGGCUAGUGAUAAUGCGUCUCAUGAUGCUGAGCAGCGGCAGUGAGCCACAGCCCCAAGUCAGCCAUGUGAUCACAAGGAGUCAGUGGUGGCAUAACAUAAGAGCCUAGCCCCUGAAGCCAGAAUGCCUGGGUUCACAUCGCAGAUUUUUAACAAGUACAACUUGAUGUUUCUACACCUCUGUCUUCAGCUAUAAAAUGGGAAUGAUGUUAAUAGUACCUACCUCAAAAUGCUGUCAUGAGGAUUAAAUGAGUUGAUAUGUCUACAAGU